GGUUGAAAUUGAACUCUUGUUUUGAUUGGUUCUUAGUUAUUGGCGGUUAAAUUGAGUUUUCCUUUGUGUACCUUUGGGUAGAAUUUACCUGGACACUGGUCAGUGAAAGACGUCCAUUAUUUACCCAGACUAUUAUAGCAGAAACCCAUAUUGACAGAUUGUGUAUUUACUAUAUUCAUCUACAUAGUUUUCCAGACAUGACUAGUAAGUUGCACUUUCUUCUUUAUUAACAUUUUGACACGAAUUAAUAGAUUUGGUUAACUUUCCUAUUUUCAAGUAAAUACUCUUCAGAUUGCAUGUUUAUAACAUCGGAAUGAAAGAUUUGAAUGAGCUUUUUUUUGGUAAAGAAGCUAGGUCAUAUUUUUAUAAAGUAAUGUAAUAUUUGCCGCUGAUCAUAGCGUAAUUAUGUAAUGUUUAGAGAUAUCGUAAUAACAGUAUUUUACGAAUACUGCAUGUAGAAAAAUGGCGGCAUGUAUGAUAAGUUACAGUAUAUUGUGAAAAGAAUAUUCGAGUUACAUAUUGUGUAAUGCUAUUUUUAUAUGGACGAAUUGAAUACAAUUGUCAUGUGAUUAGUAUUUUAUAUAAUUACGAAGAGUCCGUUCUUAUUAUUGUAUUUUGGUUUUCAGGACUCUGAUGUAGAUUACUUCUUUAUACUUUGUGCCAAGUUCCUUAUUUACUAGAGAACUCGCUCCACAAGUGGUAAGCGCAUAAUUUGUAGCUUUUGUGUUAUUUUAUACUAUAGAAAUGAUAGUUAGUCAUGGAUUAUUUCCAUUGGCGAUUUGCGCGUUUUUAGCAAAUCAGUGGUAGAAUUUAUAUGUCGGUAUUCAGACAUAGUAAAUACUUUUUGAAUGUUGUAAUAUUUAUUAAGUUUAAUUGUAAACUUUCAUGUACUUGCGAGAAGUAAUUUUAAGAUUCAUUUAAUUCUAUUUGGUUGUAAACGCAAUAAAACUGAUUACCGUUAUAUUUAAAUGUCGGUCAGAGAAACCGGUUUGUUAAAGUACAUGUUACAUGUGAUGUACAUUUCACUACACGAUUGAAUGAAUAAACAUUCCAUAGUAAAUGUGUAUCUACUGUUUAUAGUAACACUAUUAUAUUAGGAAUCGUUUGAACUGUAUUAAAAUUGUCUGUGAUAUAAUAUGUGUAUAAUAUAUUCUAUAUGUUACAUGAAUUAUCAUUAAUGUUUAUAAUCUUGUUAUUUCAGAGUUUUUAUUCUCUGGUAAUAAAACCAUCCGAACCUUAGAAAGUCUUCUAGUUAUUAAUUUAUACCGGAAGAGACCCCUUUCACAUUUGGCGCCCACGAA
RNAcentral lists this long non-coding RNA (1301 nucleotides) under Mytilus galloprovincialis (Mediterranean mussel). Lineage: Eukaryota; Metazoa; Mollusca; Bivalvia; Mytilida; Mytilidae. The record is from RNAcentral.